Molecule: signal recognition particle RNA, 86 nt
Filed under: Bacilli bacterium
Lineage: Bacteria; Bacillati; Bacillota; Bacilli
Description: signal recognition particle sRNA small type
Rfam family: Bacterial small signal recognition particle RNA
About the family: The signal recognition particle (SRP) is a universally conserved ribonucleoprotein involved in the co-translational targeting of proteins to membranes.
Source: RNAcentral
CUGCCAUCGUGAGGGAACGCUUACGAACCAGGUCAGGUGGGGAACCAAGCAGCCUUAAGUCUCCGUUCCUUGCGCGGUGGUUUAUU